AAAGAUUAAGCCAUGCAUGUCUAAGUAUAAGCAAUUAUACAGCGAAACUGCGAAUGGCUCAUUAUAUAAGUUAUCGUUUAUUUGAUAGUACCUUACUACUUGGAUAACCGUGGUAAUUCUAGAGCUAAUACAUGCUAAAAAUCCCGACUUCGGAAGGGAUGUAUUUAUUAGAUUAAAAACCAAUGCCCUUCGGGGCUCCUUGGUGAUUCAUGAUAACUCCUCGAAUCGCAUGGCCUUGUGCCGGCGAUGGUUCAUUCAAAUUUCUUCCCUAUCAACUUUCGAUGUUUGGGUAUUGGCCAAACAUGGUUGCAACGGGUAACGGAGGGUUAGGGCUCGACCCCGGAGAAGGAGCCUGAGAAACGGCUACUACAUCCAAGGAAGGCAGCAGGCGCGCAAAUUACCCAAUCCCGACACGGGGAGGUAGUGACAAUAAAUACUGAUACAGGGCUCUUUUGGGUCUUGUAAUUGGAAUGAGUACAAUUUAAAUCCCUUAACGAGGAACAAUUGGAGGGCAAGUCUGGUGCCAGCAGCCGCGGUAAUUCCAGCUCCAAUAGCGUAUAUUAAAGUUGUUGUGGUUAAAAAGCUCGUAGUUGAACCUUGGGCCUGGCUGGCCGGUCCGCCUCACCGCGUGUACUGGUCCGGCCGGGCCUUUCCCUCUGUGGAACCCCAUGCCCUUCACUGGGUGUGGCGGGGAAACAGGACUUUUACUUUGAAAAAAUUAGAGUGCUCCAGGCAGGCCUAUGCUCGAAUACAUUAGCAUGGAAUAAUAGAAUAGGACGUGUGGUUCUAUUUUGUUGGUUUCUAGGACCGCCGUAAUGAUUAAUAGGGACAGUCGGGGGCAUCAGUAUUCAAUUGUCAGAGGUGAAAUUCUUGGAUUUAUUGAAGACUAACUACUGCGAAAGCAUUUGCCAAGGAUGUUUUCAUUAAUCAGGAACGAAAGUUAGGGGAUCGAAGACGAUCAGAUACCGUCGUAGUCUUAACCAUAAACUAUGCCGACUAGGGAUCGGACGAUGUUAUUUUUUGACUCGUUCGGCACCUUACGAGAAAUCAAAGUGCUUGGGCUCCAGGGGGAGUAUGGUCGCAAGGCUGAAA
Molecule: ribosomal RNA, 1092 nt
Filed under: Neonectria candida
Lineage: Eukaryota; Fungi; Ascomycota; Sordariomycetes; Hypocreales; Nectriaceae
Description: SSU rRNA
Rfam family: Eukaryotic small subunit ribosomal RNA
Source: RNAcentral